RNAcentral lists this non-coding RNA (23 nucleotides) under Arabidopsis thaliana (thale cress). Lineage: Eukaryota; Viridiplantae; Streptophyta; Magnoliopsida; Brassicales; Brassicaceae. The record is from RNAcentral.
UUGUCGCUGUGUUGUUCGUUUGA